UAAAUGUUGAGCAUAAGCAGGAGAGAUAAAAGAAUGGGUAGAACCAGUAUCUAAUAAGGUAUAGACUUCGCAAAAAUUUAUAAUUAACUAACCCGUGAUACCUUCGUUCGGGUUCUUCGCGUUUUGGGCAGACACGACAAACGCUCUUCCAGAAAUCACCGACUUUGUUUUGUUCGUAUCCGCCUUUGGUGCCACCGUCCCAGCUGGACUUGGUUUUGCUACAGGACAAAAUCGAGCUAUGUGACUGUCUUUUCCAUAACUAAAUCAUACCUUGGAAGGCUGUGAACAAUUUGAACUUAUAUGUCCC
Molecule: long non-coding RNA, 307 nt
Filed under: Panax ginseng (ginseng)
Lineage: Eukaryota; Viridiplantae; Streptophyta; Magnoliopsida; Apiales; Araliaceae
Description: long non-coding RNA (PGIN_LNC007211)
Source: RNAcentral